Peromyscus maniculatus bairdii (prairie deer mouse) is the source of this 1150-nucleotide non-coding RNA. The record is from RefSeq and is a predicted model, not a curated record. Lineage: Eukaryota; Metazoa; Chordata; Mammalia; Rodentia; Cricetidae.
UAAUUUGGAUAACGUAGACUAAUGCAACCAAAUCACUUUAUGCAGUACGUAGAACCUGUGAGAUGAAUGAUGCACACAGGCUCCAAAGAUGGUGGUGGUGGUGGUGGUAGUGAUGGUGCUGAUAGGGAUGGUGGUACUUGCUGGUGAAGAUGAUAAUGAUAGUGAUGUGUGUUGGUGCUGGUGAUGAAGAUGGUAGUCUAAUUAUUGCUGAUGAUUAAUGAUGAUUCUGAUCAUGGUGUUGAUAAGGUUGAUGGUGAUAAUGAUGGUUGGCAUAACAAUAACGGUGAUGGUGGUAGCAAUACUGCUGAUGUUAAUAAUGGAGAUGAAAGUAAUACUAAUGAUGGUGGUGAUGGCAGUGAUGGCUGGAAAUGAUGAUAAUGAUGGGGAUGGGGAUAGGGAUGAGGAUGGAUGCAGUGGUGGCAGUGUGAUAUGGCAAUCCUUGAUUGUGAAGGAAGUAUAAAGUGAUACAUAAUUGACCUCUGACCUGUUCUUCUAGGCUAGGAAGAAAGGAAGAUGCCCUUUCUAAAGAGAGCUCAUUGCUGGUCCACCACCAUGUUCUCCCUUUACCCUGGUGUAUUCAACCACAGAAGUAACUGGCAUGCCUGUUACCUGUCUGGCUCUCCUGCUUACCCUCCUCAUAACUUGGAACAAACAUCUUCUGGAGACUCUCCUGUGCAGCAGGCAGCAUCUGGCACCCGUGUCCUUCUGGCAUUCCAAUAAGCAAGGUGAUAUCACCUACCCCAUUCUACAGGCCUGGAAACUGAGAAGCAGAUAAAGUAGAAACUAGUUUAAAUUCCCAGACUGGAGUGCUAAUUCAGAUAAGGUGGCCCACAGAGCUACAUGCUCCUUGAUUAAGUGGGACUCCACUUAAAACAUGAAGACCCAAUUUCUAUGUCAUGCUUUACUGAAUAUGUUUACAAUAAGGACAUAUCUUUACAGAAAAGAGGUGAAGGAGAAAGAACUCAAAGCCUUGGACCUGGAGUCACAAAUGGUUACCAGCUGCACAUCAUGGGUGCUGGGAAACAAACUUGGGGCUUCUACAAGAACACUGCAAUCCUAACCUCAGGACCAUCUCUCUGGGGACUGAAUAAAGCCACAUGAUUACAUCUGUGGUCCAGUGAAGGUAGAAUAAAAUUGGCAUUAAGCUGUG